This 9910-nucleotide long non-coding RNA is filed under the name Heterocephalus glaber (naked mole-rat). RNAcentral's name for it is "lncRNA (ENSHGLG00100036347.1)". Lineage: Eukaryota; Metazoa; Chordata; Mammalia; Rodentia; Bathyergidae. The record is from RNAcentral.
GUAGGUUUUAGCUAACUUAGUCAAAACUAUUAAAGAUAAUUUUUCAAUUCAAGAAAAUUUUUAAUGGUUUUUAUAUAUCAAGCUCUGCCAUCACAUUAGGAAUACUGAAGUGUAGCAGUCUUUCUUCUGUGAAAAUGUGUUAACCUGAUAGCAGUAGACACUAUAUGUAAACGAUCAGUAUAGUGGCCUACCAUUGGUAACUUUAUUUCUUUUCUCUAAGUCAGUCUACUCUUUUGUUAUUGACAACCUAUUGGGCUUAACCAUUUUAUAAAUUUUCCUUUUUCUUUUUACAUUUAGGACAUAAUAUUUGUUAUGUGAUACUACUUUAACAGAUUGAUUUUGGCAUACGAAAUAUGGUGACUUUUUCAUAAUCACAUAGUCUGUUUACUUUUUCUAAUUAACAAACUGAUAAUUAUGUCUUCCUCCUUUCAGUUCUGUAAAGGUUUACUGAGUUAUUGCUAGACACUAUUUAGGGAAAAUAAAGAUGAAUACCAUUGACCAAGUUUUAAUCUAGUGAGAAAAUCUAUAAUUUGUAAAAAGCAAUAGCAGGAUAAUAAAAUAAUAGUUACUGAGUGCAGCGUUUGCUGUAUGCUACCAUUAUACUAAGUAAGCAAGGUAAUAUGUGUCAUCUCAUUUAAUUGUACCACAGCCCAGAUAGUACCAAGAUAUUUUUUGAAUCUUUUCUUCACUUCUUCAAUAUUUUUUCAUUUUGUCACCUUUUCUGAGAAACUUUCCUGUCCAAACCUAUCUAAAAUAUCAGCCUGUGUAAAUCUCAGUGAUUUUACUUUGUAUAUUUGCCUUCAAUGUACUACUUAUAUGACAUCAUAAGCCUAAUAACUUAUUUGCUUAUUGUUUCCCUUGCUAGAAUAAUAUUGAAAGGAAGAAUAAAUAAUGAGGAGUUUAGAGUUUUUAAAGUGUACUUUAAUUUAAUUCAUAACAUAACUUCUUGUAAGCUUAACUUUCUUUAUCUGUUCAUAGAUGUAUACUUAAUAGCUGUUUCAUAGGCUUUUUAAACUGUAUUCUUUCACUCAGUAAAUAUUCAUUGAUCUUUAAGUACUGUAUAUGGCAGGCACUAGUCUUAGGAAUGGGGAUAUAGUGAAAAGGACCAAGUCCCUGUGCUUAUGGUACUUCAUUCUAGUGGAGGAGACAGAUAGCAGAUAAAUAAUAUUGUAUAAAUCAACUAAUGACCACAUAAAUUUUCUCCAAGGUAUCUUUCCCCACCUUGCCUUUACAAUCUAAAUAUUUUUUAUCAGUUGCUAAUCAUUCUGUAUAUCUGUCAUUAGUGGUGGCUCUGAUCUUAAUCUUCACAUUUCUAAUAUUCAAUGUCUUUCCUUAAAUUUUGUAUUGCAAAAAAAAUGUAAUAGUGCCCAUUUAUACCGAAUAUAACAGCACUGCCAUUUUCGUUUCUUGUACCUCAUUUGUCUAUUAAUACACCCUAAAACUCAGGUAUAUAAAUUUGGUUUGUUGUUUCUUUGUUUUCCCUUUGCAAAGAUAUUGCAUAUGUAUAUUAAUGAUCUAGUAAAUUAAAAUCCUUUUUAUUUUAAGGGGUGUUUCACUGUAGAUAUAUACUGGCUUAUAAGAUUAGUGCAUGUUUGUAUGUUGCAUUUCCAUUAGUAAAACUGCUUUUGAGACUUUGGCUGAAUCUCUGUGGAGAUUGUUAGUAAAUAUGACAUCAAGGUCAUCACUGAGAUUUCAUAGCAUAUUUAGAGCAAUCAUUUUCCAAGGACAUAUAUAAUAUCAAACUCAAUUUUUAAUAGAAGAAUUGUUUCUAGUUACAUAUUUUAUAGUCAAACUCAUCAAUUUGUCUUCAAAGGCACCUUUAACAUGCUGCCUGAUCAACAGCUCCCAGUAUUAGUUUCAAUUCUGUAAUAUGCAAUGCAUUGGGUAGAAAGAAAUUUGGUAGUAACUGUCCCAUUCGAUGGGCAUUACUACCUCCAUGUCUGAAUAGGACUCUUCUAUUAGCUUUGCUGCUAAGACAGGAAAUAUAAAGCAAUGUUCUGAUAUCAGUAUUUAGGUUGGAUAUAUGUGCCACAUUUUACUGAAUACUUGUACUGCACAUGUACAUCCAAAUGUGUUAGCUUUUACUUUCUUUUAAAAAGUACUGAUAUUAACUGGCAUGUACAAACUCAACCAUCUACUCCUCAGAAACACGUGAUGGAACUGCAAAAUGUUUCCUUGACAGAUUUCUAAUUUUAAGUAUUUAUUUUUUAGAUACAUAAAAAGAAGUGUUAAGAAUUGCCCUUUGAGAGUCUGAAGGCUGAAGGUACAGAAGUACUAAAGAUGUACUCUUAAACCUCAUAUCUCAUCAGCUCUUUCUGAAGAGUACCAGAUAAAUUGCAGUCUGUGCCUCAUAGCUAAACAGGUAAGGAGUGGUUGAAGAUACGUUGCUGCAUUGUCUCAAACACUAGACAAAUGGGAAAAAGUUUGCACCUGUUUAAAAUCUCAGCCGUGUGGUGUUGUGGCUCCUGGGCAACAGGCAAGCAUUCUCAAAAGCUUGGUUGCACCUGCUCAAUUGUUGUUUGCAGCUGUGUCAUACGAGAACACAGAGAAGCUUGUUAGCAGUUUGCUUGUGCUGUUGUGUAUUUAUAUUUUGUGUACUCUGAAUUUGAAAGAUGCUUACUUAAUAUAGACCUUGAGCUGUUACAUUGGUGUAUGUUAAAACUGUCUGGUUUUAGCUCACAAUUAUUUUUUCCAAAUUCUUUUGUUUUUUGUUUCAAAUAUUUUAAAGUGCUGCUAACUGCCCUAGAUAAUGUGCAUACUAACUUCUCCAAAGGAUACCUGGGAGAGUAGAUCUCUCCAGAUAACUGUGUUGAUAAUAAUUUUUGUCCUAGUAGAGACAUUUUGCAUUUGGCUCAUUUUCACCAUGUUGGCAGCCCCACUAUGUGAGGCUGGAUGUAGUUAUUGAUCCAUUUAGCUGAACAGAUUUGAAAGCAUUUGGCUAUUAGUGGACACAUGCGGCAUAUUCAGAAAAUUUAAGAGUAUACUGUAAGAUGAUUUCUUGAUUUGUGCGUGGGUCUGUGUUGCGGUUGGGCUGGAUAAAAAAAAUGAAAAUUAAAUAGUAAUCCUAGAAGACAGACCACAAUCCAGAUGUAGGUUUUAAGGCUAUACUCUUAUCCUUAAAUCAAAUGCUAGAUACCUGAUGUUUUUUUUUUCCCUAAGUCUUACUGAUAGUGAUAUUAUGUUUCUUCUCAUUAAUGGCUUCAUAUAUAAUCUCUGACAAAUAUCUGUAUUUUGAUAUAGACAGUUGUAAACUGUGUAUUUCACAAGUGAAGUAAAGUUAUCUUAAUGUAACAAAUCUGAUAUAAAUGUAAUUUAUUUAUUCACUGGUCCCAAAUUCUUGAUAUUAAAAGUUUGUUCAGAUGGCUUGCAUUCUCUUUAAUAUAUAAACAAUGUUUUAUUAUGUCAAACAUAUAUUAAAAUGUUAAGGAGUUUCCAUUAGUGUUUAGUAAUGUAAAUCUUUAGUCUUGGAGCUGGUUUAUCUUUUUCUUUUAUUGGACCAUUUGGAAACUGUAAAAAAAAAUAUGAAUUUUUCUAACCUCUUUUGGAAUACAAAACAUAACUACAAAAGUAAAUAGAAGGUUGGCCGUAGCCCCUUAAAACAGUGCCUUAUACAUAGUAUUUGACCAAUAAAUGUUGAAUGAAUGCAUGUAUGAAUAAAGCAUUUCUGGAGUUGUUUUAGAAAUUGAGGGAUAGUGUCCUCCAUAUAUAAUACUUGUUAUAUAGUUUGGAUGAACCUUGAUAGACUUAUGCUGCUGGUUAGAAAGAAAUGAAAAUAAUGACAAAUUCUCUUUGUAAAAUAUGAUUUUAAUAAAUAAUUUGAACUUCAUUAUUAGAGAUCAAAUUAUUAGAGAGUUUAAAAUACCAAUAUUUGCUUUAUCCUCAUUUAACUAUGAUAACAGUUCUUUUAUUAUCCAUAUUACACACACAAGGUUGAGACAUUAAUGGUUAAGUUAUUUGUCAUCUUGGAAACUCCAAUGUAGCAUAGGGAUAAACAAAUCUGUGCUGUAUGAUUAAUGCCUUAACCUUCCUGAGCACUCACUAUGCUCUCUCUCUCCCUAUCUCCAUCUCACUAAAAAGACGAAAAGAAAAUGUGUGUUGACCUUUGGGUCAGGUAAAAUCAGAACAUAUGAAAAAAAUUGAGGCUGUUUUAAUAAGCAGAAUAGUGGACUCUAUUUACUGUACAGAACAUGUUUAUAAUUAUGGUUUUGAUUACUUACUAAGUUCCAACUAUAAAUGCAUGAAGUCAAGCAAAAAUAGAGUCAAAAUAGAGAAGCUAAAUUCUGCUUUGGAUAGGCCCUUCAAAGUUCCAUUUCUUCAUGGUGUGAUGUAUUCACAUAGGAAUGGCUCAUGUUGCAAAAUGAGCUAAUAAUUAUUGCAUCAAAAUGUCUUAUUUAGGCUUUUCAAAUUUUGGUACCUCUUGAUAAUAUUCACGAGUACCUUUAGACUUAUAAGUACCUUUCGUUUGGAACAAUUUUUCUUUUAUUUCAAUUUGUGUCAGUGGGAAAAGACAAAUAACAUGGGCAUCAUGUUUUCCCUCAUGAACUUUAGUAUGGUAGAUUAUACUGUAUUAUUCUGUUAGUAUCAACAUUAGAAAUUAAGAAACGAGCCAAGAAUGUGUACUAGCUAGAAUAUUAAUGAUUAAACUCAACAGAUAUUAGCAGUUGCUUCAGUGGUCUGUAUAGGAAUUAAUAUAUGAAAUCUCAAGGAUAAAUUUCCAAGCCCUAGGAUUCCUAGGCAUAAUUGCAAGGUUUCCUGUGAUUUCAGGAUUAAAGAAAUAAAGGAAGAAAAUCCACAUUUAAUCAGAACAUAGCAUGCCUAAAUGUACUUUUUUCUUUUCUCCUCACAUCACCUCCUCCUUUCCUAAUUUCUUUUCUUUGUUUUAUUCUACAGGUAAAGUAAAUGUCUACUAUUUACUAGACAUAGUGAUAGACUAAAGGCAUAAAACAAAAUCCUUGUUCUCAAAGAUCAUACAAGCUAGAGGGAGACAAAGAUAGGUUGUCGUGAUGACUAUACAAGUAUUAUGAAUAUAUCUGAGCAAUGAAUUGUACAGCUCAAAAGGGGUAAGAUAGUAAAUUUUAUGUUAUGUGUAUUCUACCACAAUAAAAAUGUGGGUAAAUUAUAAAAAGGAACACAUGAAAGUCUUUUAAAUUUCACACAUUUACAUAUGAUUUUAAAAAUCUUUCCUAAAUCCCUAAAAGCAGAGGUGACUCUGGACAAAAUCUCUGAGACAAUCUAUGCAACAAUCAAUUUCUCUCUCAGUGCAUACUUGGGUUCCUUCCAUAUUUUAGUUAUGCAUAAUUCUACUAUGCUCACAAAUAUAUGCUAUCUCCUUGAGAACCUACUGUUAGUUUUUUAAAAAUUUUUUUGGAGUAUAUACGUAGAAGUGAAAUUGCUGGAUCAUAUAGUAAUUUUAUUUCUCAUGUAUUCUUUUAAUGAGAUUACAAUCUCUUGUAAUGAGAUUACAAAUUGAUUGACUUCUUUUAGUUUGUAUUUGUGGAUGGAUUUGAUCUCUUCAGACUUCACAAGGAGAAUAAGAUAAGUCAAUUUCAGCAAGAAUACCAUUCAUGUGAGUUUAGAUGCUUUAAAGGACUCUGGAAUAUCUUAAAUAAAUCAGCAUUUUAGAAACCAGAGAUGCUAUCAGGGUAUCCAAAUUCUGAAUCUCUUACUCAUGUUUGAAUAUAGGAGUUUUGAAUUCUAACUGACCAUUGAAAUCUCAGUUCCACAAUUCAGUAUAUGUUUGAACUUAUCAAGGUUAACUAAGCUUAGAUAUGGUAGUGACAAUUUCUACCUGUAUAGUGAUAAAUAUGAAGAUUGAAAUAGAUGUAUGAGUGAAAUGCUGUAUUAGGCAUACAAUAUCUACUACUAUUUCCUACAUAUUUUUUCUCUCUUCUUGUAAAAAUAUAAAGUUACGAUGAGCAGUAUAGGAAUUUGAAGGAAAAAUGGAAUUCAUCUUUUAUAAAUAAAGUUAAUUUUUACAGCAUUAUUACUCUGUUAGAUGUUGAGUAUAUUGGUUCAGCUCAGUUAGAUUCACAAUUCCUAACUGUGCUUGAUACUUGAGGUUGGGAUAACUGCAUUCAUUAUAAUGUCUAUUGAUUAUAGAAGCAUGUCUUGCAAUGAAAGGCAUGUUGAUACAACUCAAGGCAACUCUCACCCAUCUUUUGAAGGUACGAUAUUCUUAAAAUCAGUCUCAAAAACAUGAACUACAUAUUUGCCAGUAUGCUCUCACAGGCAUCAUGGCAAACUAAAGAUGGCUCUCUUGGCAAGGUUGACUCAAUCUAAGCAGACUCAAGUUUAGUGAGCCUAGCUAUCGAUGUUAGUAGAUGGCUGUGUUAAAUUACUUUUUUGUUAUUCAGAAGGAAAUUAAUGUGGUAAAAUGCCCUGAUUCUCUCCAAUGCAAACUCUGAGCAGUAGAAAGGAUUUGUGAAUUGAUAUAUAUGAAUUUUCCUUAAUUAUCUUUAAUUAAAAAUUAGAUGAUCUUAAUUACAAUCAAUCAUUUUCCUCCACUAGGCUGUUGGUAUUUAAGCAAUACUAUUUUCCUGAACAGCAAUCAGAAAAAAUGUUUCUUUAAAAAAAGGGGAAAACACUAGAUAAUAUAUAUAAUUUACCAUUACUCAGCGCACAUAAUAAAGUGUCUGAUGUUGACUGUAAAGUUUUGACUUUGAUGAACAGAGAGGUAAGUACUGACAAUUAUUGAAACUUUUAUUGAGAUGGAUGUCAGUUUGCUAAUUGUUAUACCAAAGUACCAUGAACUUGGUGUCUGAGACAGAAAUUUUUUUGUCUUACAGUUUAGAAGUGUGAUAUCAAGGUUUUUGAGAAGAGUUGGUUUCCUCUGAUAGCUCUGGGGGACAGAUACGUUCUGGGCCUCACUCUUUAGAUAUAGAUGGCCCUUGUUUCUCUGUAUCUCUUCACAUUUUCUUUCCUCUGUGAGUGUCUAUCUUGGUGUCCAAGUUUCUCUCUUUUUUUAUAAGGACAUCAGUCAUUUUAUUUUAAGGCUCACACUAAUGAACUCAUUUUAACCUGAUUACUUAUGUAAAGACCCCUCUAUCUCCAAAUAAAAUAACAUUUUGUGGUUGAAGGAGUUUUGAAUUCUAACUGACCAUUGAAAUCUCAGUUCCACAAUUCAGUAUAUGUUUGAUCUUAUCAAGGUUAACUAAGCUUACUAAGCCUCAAGUGUUCCUAUUUAUGAUAUGGUAGUGUCAAUUUCUACCUUUAUAGUGACGAAUAUGAAGAUUGAAAUAGAUAUAUGAGUGAAAUGCUGUAUUAGGCAUACAAUAUCUACUACUAUUUCCUACAUAUUUUUUAGGACUCUUAACAUAUGUUUGGAGAGGGAGACAUAAUUUAACUCAUACUAGAUGGGUUAAUGGUUAAUAUUUGAAUGAUAUGUAUUCCAGGACACUCAUAUAUAUAUAUAUACAUAUGUGUGUGUAUGUGUGUGUGUGUGUGUGUGUGUGUGUUGUAGAAAUAUAUGCUUACAACAAUCUUUUUUUUUGUUUUUUUGGGUUUUUUUGGUACCAGGGAUCGAACUCGGGUCCUUGCGCUUGCGCAGCAGGUGGCAAAAGCACUGAGCUAAAUCCCCGGCCCGAUUACAACAAUCUUGUUAGGUAGACAUUAUGUAACAGGUGGUAAAAUAAAGGAUAAACCAUUUUGUCCAAAUUCACGCAGCUAAUGAAUAUUAAUUGCUGGCAUUUGAAACCAGCAUUCCACACUAUUUUUAAGGGGAUAUGCUUCAUAACAAGUCAGUCAAAAGCCUCAAAUUACUUUGAACACUGAAGGUUGUGUUCUGAUUUUGUUUUGUUUUGCCCUUCGUAUUGUGCCAAAGGGCAUUUUAACCACUAAAAAUGGUACAUUGUGUUAUUGUAUACAUGCUCAAUCAUUGAAUGUCUACAUAUUCACUCCUCAUUUUUUUUUGCUGACUGUUGUCUUUGAAAGCUUAGUGUUUUAGCUGUCCUGUACCUGAUGAAGCUUUGGGAAAGGUUGGAUUCUGAUGGUAGUCUGCCUGGGUUGCGUCUGGCCCCCAUUUGUGUGGAUGCGGAUGGAACUGAGAACCAAGUCAUACCUAGGUUUGUUAUUUAGCACCUGUGCUUCCCCUGCCUUAUUUUUGUUACUAGGUAACUUGUGACUUUUUGUUUUAUACAGUCCCUGCCAUGAGUGACAGACAUUGAAAGGGGAUGGAUGUGAGUGACAGAACAGGGACUAUCUCUGCUUACAUCAAAUAGAUGUAUACCGUAACCUGGCUACAGCCUUAUUGUUACUCACACUAAGAAACAUGGAAGAUUAUGUACCUCAUUUAAGUUUCCCAUCUUAACAAAGAAAACAUUUUCUUUUUCACUUUCAUGUUUUAAAGCAAAAAAUAGCUCAUGACCCAUUUUCACUAAUAAUUCUCUUAAGUAACCCUUGUAUUCAUUUAUAAGAUUUUUUUCUCACCCACUGUCUGUCUAGUUUGGUUUAAAAUUUUUAUAUAUGUACUUUUAAAAAAUUGAUUAGGUGGAGAGCUGCCCAUUCCUCUGUGAUUAUAAUAAGGAUUUAAAAACUGUGCACUGAAUUCUGUGUAGUGUAAUUAAAACUGACCCACAUUUGGACCUGAGUACACCAGGACGUAGCCAAACUUGCCAUGAGCUGAGUUCUGGUGGCAGAUGGGAACUAAUGAGGACACACUCCACUCCAGAAUUUCCCAGCUGCUUGGCCCCUUUUUGUACAAACAAGGUUUGGAGCGAAGUCCGGAUCCCAAGAGCAUGUUUUGUAAAUGUGCUGUACCCAGUGAUUUGGGAAAUGUCUCACAAAAUUAGACUGUUUAAAGCUAUCCUUAAGACUUCAACUGUUGUCCAAUGUAAAACAUAAAAAUUCAAAGGCUCCUUUUUUGUUUUUUCCAGCCAUUUAAAAAAUUUAAAGAAAAAUCACAUCCUAUGCGUCUGUCUUUUUCCUAUGCCUGCCUAUGGAAUGAGCACUUUUAUAAAAACCUGGAGAUUUGCAGGCAGUUAUCUUGGGGACAGUUGUACAUCAGGAUUGACUAGGUCUGCUUGCAACCUAUGGAUCUCUUCAACUGGUUUGAUGUCCUGGGACUAUUCAGGCAGCUGUAAUUGAAUCAGUUUGAAGCAGCUGUAGCUUGCAUGUGGUCUCUCAGAUUGCUAGCACCUGCUUGUUUUUUUUGUUUUGUUUUGUUUUGUUUUUUUCCCCCAGCUCACUACAGAGAGAGAAGUGCCAAAACCACCACUGGUCUUGGUCUUGGAGCAAAAUAAAGCACUCCAGAUCUUAUGUCCCAUUCCCCUUCCAGCUUACUCAUAUAGUUACUGAUGCCUGAAUUAAUAAAACCCCUUUUUAUGAUAAAGUUUGAAGUGUACUUUUCCUCUUUAUUCUUCUCAGUAUCUAUUCAGAUUCUGAUAGUACUGACCAUGCAUCCAGAAAAAAUAAGGGAGCAUAAUGGUGAUCAGGUGGCUUUGGGGCUCUCUUAUCAUUAGAGAACUGGGUAGCCUGUGGUUUGCAGAAUCAUUUAAAUGAAUGCACCAAAUUCAUUUGCUGUUCCAGCACAGUCUUAUUGGCACAGAAAAUGAUCAGUUAAUGUAUAACAAACUGUGAGCUCUUAUGGAAUAUGAUAAAUACACAUUCUUAGGGGGAGUGUAAAAUGGAACUAUUUCUCUAAUGUGAGCUCUAAAAUAAUUGAUAUGAUUUCUUCAACACUUACUAUGUGCAAAACAUACAAUAUGGUAAGGUAGGGAUAAAAAUUCUAUGACAUAAAUAUGUAGGAUAUAUUUUAAAGAUACAGAUUUGUAACUUUUUAAAAAUGUUUAAAUAUAUUUUAAAACACUUUUUAACCUUAUUUUUGUGUUCCAUUUUAUUAUUUUCCAGGCAUAUACUUAACCCUUAAUAUUAUUGCUAUCCUGUGUUUAAUUUGAAAUGUGAUGAAAAAGUCAAC